This 55-nucleotide transfer RNA is filed under the name Meloidogyne javanica (root-knot nematode). Its description in RNAcentral is "tRNA-Arg". Lineage: Eukaryota; Metazoa; Nematoda; Chromadorea; Rhabditida; Meloidogynidae. RNAcentral also lists the same sequence under 2 other names. The record is from RNAcentral.
AAUGGAAAGGUAGUUCUUAUUUUUAUUUUCGAAAUAAAAGAUUAAAUUUAUAUUU